CCUACUGGGGGCUGCAGUGGGGAAUAUUGGACAAUGGGGGCAACCCUGAUCCAGCCAUGCCGCGUGUGUGAAGAAGGCCCUCGGGUUGUAAAGCACUUUCAGUGAGGAAGAACGCCUGGUGGUUAAUACCCAUCAGGAAAGACAUCACUCACAGAAGAAGCACCGGCUAACUCCGUGCCAGCAGCCGCGGUAAUACGGAGGGUGCGAGCGUUAAUCGGAAUUACUGGGCGUAAAGCGCGCGUAGGUGGCUUGAUAAGCCGGUUGUGAAAGCCCCGGGCUCAACCUGGGAACGGCAUCCGGAACUGUCAAGCUAGAGUGCAGGAGAGGAAGGUAGAAUUCCCGGUGUAGCGGUGAAAUGCGUAGAGAUCGGGAGGAAUACCAGUGGCGAAGGCGGCCUUCUGGACUGACACUGACACUGAGGUGCGAAAGCGUGGGUAGCAAACAGGAUUAGAUACCCGAGUAGUC
This 465-nucleotide ribosomal RNA is filed under the name Vreelandella stevensii. Its description in RNAcentral is "partial 16S ribosomal RNA". It matches the Rfam family "Bacterial small subunit ribosomal RNA", at positions 338 to 795 of the family's 1533-position model. Lineage: Bacteria; Pseudomonadati; Pseudomonadota; Gammaproteobacteria; Oceanospirillales; Halomonadaceae. The record is from RNAcentral.